GGAAUGGUUUCAGCGAUGCUCGACUAUAACGGCCCCAUCGACGUAAUCAACUUCUGGCUGCUGCAAAGAAGGAAAACAAAAGGUUUGGGGAUUAAUAAGGUGCCACAACAGUGGCGCACCUUCUCAUAUACCAGGCGCUUAGCGCCUGGUAUACU
Molecule: ribosomal RNA, 155 nt
Filed under: Cladiella sp. CSM-2002
Lineage: Eukaryota; Metazoa; Cnidaria; Anthozoa; Malacalcyonacea; Cladiellidae
Description: partial 16S large subunit ribosomal RNA
Source: RNAcentral